GUAACGCGUGAGGAACCUGCCUCAAAGAGGGGGACAACAGUUGGAAACGACUGCUAAUACCGCAUAAGCCCACGGGUCGGCAUCGACCAGAGGGAAAAGGAGCAAUCCGCUUUGAGAUGGCCUCGCGUCCGAUUAGCUAGUUGGUGAGGUAAUGGCCCACCAAGGCGACGAUCAGUAGCCGGCUUGAGAGAGUGAACGGCCACAUUGGGACUGAGACACGGCCCAAACUCCUACGGGAGGCAGCAUG
Molecule: ribosomal RNA, 247 nt
Filed under: uncultured bacterium
Lineage: Bacteria
Description: partial 16S ribosomal RNA
Rfam family: Bacterial small subunit ribosomal RNA
Source: RNAcentral